CCAAUAGCGUAUAUUAAAGUUGUUGCAGUUAAAAAGCUCGUAGUUGAAUUUCGGAAUCAGUACGCUGGUCGUGCCUCCGGUAUGAACUGGUGUCACUGGUUCCUCCCUUCUGAAGAACCAUCAUGCCAUUCACUUGGUGUGGUGGGAAAUCAGGACUGUUACUUUGAAAAAAUUAGAGUGUUUAAAGCAGGCUCACGCUUGAAUACAUUAGCAUGGAAUAAUGAAAUAGGACGUUGAUCUUAUUUUGUUGGUUUCUAGGAUUGACGUAAUGAUUAAUAGGGAUAGUUGGGGGCAUUAGUAUUCAAUUGUCAGAGGUGAAAUUCUUGGAUUUAUUGAAGACUAACUACUGCGAAAGCAUUUGCCAAGGAUGUUUUCAUUAAUCAAGAACGAAAGUUAGGGGUUCGAAGACGAUCAGAUACCGUCGUAGUCUUAACCAUAAACUAUGCCGACUAGGGAUCGGAUGAUGUUAUUUUUUUAUGACUCAUUCGGCGCCUUACG
This 498-nucleotide ribosomal RNA is filed under the name uncultured Glomeromycotina. RNAcentral describes it as "partial small subunit ribosomal RNA". It matches the Rfam family "Eukaryotic small subunit ribosomal RNA", at positions 591 to 1092 of the family's 1831-position model. Lineage: Eukaryota; Fungi; Glomeromycota. The record is from RNAcentral.